AGUGAACGCUGGCGGUAGGCCUAACACAUGCAAGUCGAACGGCAGCACAGUAAGAGCUUGCUCUUACGGGUGGCGAGUGGCGGACGGGUGAGGAAUACAUCGGAAUCUACUUUUUCGUGGGGGAUAACGUAGGGAAACUUACGCUAAUACCGCAUACGACCUACGGGUGAAAGCAGGGGAUCUUCGGACCUUGCGCGAUUGAAUGAGCCGAUGUCGGAUUAGCUAGUUGGCGGGGUAAAGGCCCACCAAGGCGACGAUCCGUAGCUGGUCUGAGAGGAUGAUCAGCCACACUGGAACUGAGACACGGUCCAGACUCCUACGGGAGGCAGCAGUGGGGAAUAUUGGACAAUGGGCGCAAGCCUGAUCCAGCCAUACCGCGUGGGUGAAGAAGGCCUUCGGGUUGUAAGGCCCUUUUGUUGGGAAAGAAAAGCAGCAGGUUAAUACCCCGCUGUUCUGACGGUACCCAAAGAAUAAGCAUCGGCUAACUUCGUG
Molecule: ribosomal RNA, 492 nt
Filed under: uncultured bacterium
Lineage: Bacteria
Description: partial 16S ribosomal RNA
Rfam family: Bacterial small subunit ribosomal RNA
Source: RNAcentral